UUUGUACAGUCCAUCCAACAUGAUAUCAACUCUGCAAAACUAGAAUCCCUUGGCUGUGAAAUGACUAUUUCUCGUCUUUUUCAUAACUCUAAGGAGCUCAACCGAGCUCAAACUUUCAUGUUGUUUUGCAUCGAACAUGUAAAAUACCAUGUCGACCACAUUAUCAGAGAGGGAUUGCCACAAACUUUGUGCAUAUGAACAAAUUUAUUAGUGUACAAGUAAUAAUAUCUAGGCUAGAAAGAAUGGAUAGCACAUUAAAGUGCAUGUUUGGUAGGCAGUAUAAGAGAGGAAAGUAUAAUAAGCAAUAUCUUAGCUUCUUUUUUGACUAACGCCUUGUCCAAUCCUUCCAAUUGAAAAUGUUAUGAAUAAUGUAAUGAAAGAGAAGAAUUUAAAGAAAUGUAUUUAAAUCCAAUCGUGUUAUAAGUACAUAAAAUUUUGAUAGACAACAUAUGGCUUUGAAUCAUUGGAAGAUGGAAGGAGAGAAAAAGAAAGAUCGAUCAUGCACCAGCAUAUAACCGUUGGUAUGAAUUCUAUCAUCAUUUUUUUUUUUUUGUUUUGGUACUUGUGGCUUUUUCCUGUUAAAUCUUCUUUCGACAGUAGUCCAUUAACUUCUACAUAACUGAAUAGGGCCAUGGAGAAUGUUUGCAACCUUCUGUGGAGCUCAGCAAAAUUAAUCAUCCUAAAAAUAAAUCUAGACAACAAACUUGGUGAAGAAUAUUGGGUCUUCCCUUUGGUUUCUCCCCACAUGAUCAUUACAUGCCUAUUUUAUUUGGAUCUACACUAUGUAGUAAUGUAUGUGGUUUAUUUAUUUAUUUUUAUUUUAUUUUGAUCUACACGACGUAGUAAUGCACGUGAUUUUUUUUUAUUACCUAGAUAGCUUCUGUCCGUAAUAACCAAUAGGAACUUCCGUCCUUCCCCUCCCCAGCGGCGACCUCGAAACGUUCAAGGUCGCAGGGUUCACUUCUUCCAUGUUUGCAACUUUUAACCCCACAUGUUUUGUCCAGUUUAGCCUUCAACUUUUGACUUUAUUCAUUUCAGUCCUUAAGCUUCUAAAUCAUCCAAUUUGGUUCUCCAACUUUGGAUCUCUUCAAUUUUGGUUCUCCAUCUUUUCACCAUAUCCAAAUUAGUCCCCAACUUCUGAUUUCAAUCAUUUGGUAACCAAAAUUCAUAAAAUCUUUUAGUUCGAUUCCAAUUCUAUCCAAUUGAGUCCCAAUACUGUCUGACAUCGAUCUAACUUCAUCUUUUAAAAUCACUUUCUUUUGCUUUGUACACAUUCAAAUUAGGGAUACAACAUAUAAAAAGUCAAAUACAAUAUAAAGCGAGUAGAAAUUCGCUCAAAUAAUCAAAUAUUAAGUAGAUUUAGCCCUUAUUCGGGCUCCAUUUUUUUCAAAUUAUAAUGAAAAGAAUAGUAAUUUUUUG
This 1419-nucleotide long non-coding RNA is filed under the name Olea europaea (common olive). RNAcentral describes it as "long non-coding RNA (OEUR_LNC011393)". Lineage: Eukaryota; Viridiplantae; Streptophyta; Magnoliopsida; Lamiales; Oleaceae. The record is from RNAcentral.